CCUACGGGGGGCUGCAGUGGGGAAUAUUGGACAAUGGGGGGAACCCUGAUCCAGCCAUGCCGCGUGUGUGAAGAAGGCCCUCGGGUUGUAAAGCACUUUCAGUGAGGAAGAACGCCUGGUGGUUAAUACCCAUCAGGAAAGACAUCACUCACAGAAGAAGCACCGGCUAACUCCGUGCCAGCAGCCGCGGUAAUACGGAGGGUGCGAGCGUUAAUCGGAAUUACUGGGCGUAAAGCGCGCGUAGGUGGCUUGAUAAGCCGGUUGUGAAAGCCCCGGGCUCAACCUGGGAACGGCAUCCGGAACUGUCAAGCUAGAGUGCAGGAGAGGAAGGUAGAAUUCCCGGUGUAGCGGUGAAAUGCGUAGAGAUCGGGAGGAAUACCAGUGGCGAAGGCGGCCUUCUGGACUGAAACUGACACUGAGGUGCGAAAGCGUGGGUAGCAAACAGGAUUAGAUACCCCAGUAGUC
Molecule: ribosomal RNA, 465 nt
Filed under: Vreelandella stevensii
Lineage: Bacteria; Pseudomonadati; Pseudomonadota; Gammaproteobacteria; Oceanospirillales; Halomonadaceae
Description: partial 16S ribosomal RNA
Rfam family: Bacterial small subunit ribosomal RNA
Source: RNAcentral